UACGUAGGGGGCUAGCGUUGUCCGGAUUUAUUGGGCGUAAAGAGCGUGUAGGCGGCCAGAUAGGUCUGCUGUGAAAACUCGAGGCUCAACCUCGAGAUGUCGGCGGAAACCAUUUGGCUAGAGUCCGGAAGAGGAAAGUGGAAUUCCUGGUGUAGCGGUGAAAUGCGCAGAUAUCAGGAAGAACACCCGUGGCGAAGGCGGCUUUCUGGGACGGUACUGACGCUGAGGUGCGAAAGCGUGGGGAGCAAACAGG
This 253-nucleotide ribosomal RNA is filed under the name uncultured bacterium. RNAcentral's name for it is "partial 16S ribosomal RNA". It matches the Rfam family "Bacterial small subunit ribosomal RNA", at positions 524 to 776 of the family's 1533-position model. The record is from RNAcentral.